This 498-nucleotide ribosomal RNA is filed under the name uncultured bacterium. RNAcentral describes it as "partial 16S ribosomal RNA". It matches the Rfam family "Bacterial small subunit ribosomal RNA", at positions 30 to 523 of the family's 1533-position model. The record is from RNAcentral.
AUUGAACGCUGGCUGCAUGCCUUACACAUGCAAGUCGAACGGUAACAGGUCUUCGGAUGCUGACGAGUGGCGAACGGGUGAGUAAUACAUCGGAACGUGCCUAGUAGUGGGGGAUAACUACCCGAAAGAGUGGCUAAUACCGCAUGAGAUCUACGGAUGAAAGCAGGGGAUCGCAAGACCUUGUGCUACUAGAGCGGCCGAUGGCAGAUUAGGUAGUUGGUGGGAUAAAAGCUUACCAAGCCGACGAUCUGUAGCUGGUCUGAGAGGACGAUCAGCCACACUGGGACUGAGACACGGCCCAGACUCCUACGGGAGGCAGCGGUGGGGAAUUUUGGACAAUGGGCGAAAGCCUGAUCCAGCAAUGCCGCGUGCAGGAUGAAGGCCUUCGGGUUGUAAACUGCUUUUGUACGGAACGAAAAGCCCUGGGUUAAUACCCUGGGGUCAUGACGGUACCGUAAGAAUAAGCACCGGCUAACCUCGUGCCAGCCGCCGCGGUAA